AGUGAACGCUGGCGGUAGGCCUAACACGUCCAAGUCGAACGGCAGCACAGUAAGAGCUUGCUCUUACGGGUGGCGAGUGGCGGACGGGUGAGGAAUACAUCGGAAUCUACUUUUUCGUGGGGGAUAACGUAGGGAAACUUACGCUAAUACCGCAUACGACCUACGGGUGAAAGCAGGGGAUCUUCGGACCUUGCGCGAUUGAAUGAGCCGAUGUCGGAUUAGCUAGUUGGCGGGGUAAAGGCCCACCAAGGCGACGAUCCGUAGCUGGUCUGAGAGGAUGAUCAGCCACACUGGAACUGAGACACGGUCCAGACUCCUACGGGAGGCAGCAGUGGGGAAUAUUGGACAAUGGGCGCAAGCCUGAUCCAGCCAUACCGCGUGGGUGAAGAAGGCCUUCGGGUUGUAAAGCCCUUUUGUUGGGAAAGAAAAGCAGCAGGUUAAUACCCCGCUGUUCUGACGGUACCCAAAGAAUAAGCACCGGCUAACUUCGUG
This 492-nucleotide ribosomal RNA is filed under the name uncultured bacterium. RNAcentral describes it as "partial 16S ribosomal RNA". It matches the Rfam family "Bacterial small subunit ribosomal RNA", at positions 29 to 507 of the family's 1533-position model. The record is from RNAcentral.